CCCUUAGAUGUUCUGGGCCGCACGCGCGCUACACUGACGGAGUCGACGAGUUGUCCUGCAUCGGAAGGUGUGGGUAAUCUUUUGAAACUUCGUCGUGCUGGGGAUAGAUCUUUGCAAUUUUCGAUCUUGAACGAGGAAUUCCUAGUAAGCGUGAUUCAUCAGAUCGCGUUGAUUACGUCCCUGCCCUUUGUACACACCGCCCGUCGCUACUACCGAUUGAAUGGUUUAGUGAGGCCUCGGGACUGGCGCGCUCGAGUAGCAAUACACCUGCGCGCCGGGAACUUGGUCAAACUUGAUCAUUUAGAGGAAGUAAAAGUCGUANCA
This 324-nucleotide ribosomal RNA is filed under the name uncultured eukaryote. Its description in RNAcentral is "partial 18S ribosomal RNA". It matches the Rfam family "Eukaryotic small subunit ribosomal RNA", at positions 1470 to 1796 of the family's 1831-position model. The record is from RNAcentral.